Prunus persica (peach) is the source of this 2630-nucleotide long non-coding RNA. RefSeq lists it as uncharacterized. The transcript has 2 exons. Lineage: Eukaryota; Viridiplantae; Streptophyta; Magnoliopsida; Rosales; Rosaceae. The record is from RefSeq and is a predicted model, not a curated record.
UUCAAAAAAAAAUCGUGUUGAUUAAAAAAGUAAAUAAUCGAGUCAAAUCCGAACUUGACCGGUUCAGAGGGCUUCCGGUUUCGGUUUUCUACUACAAGAGACCGGUCCAAUAUAAUUAAUUAAUAUAUAUUUUUAUAUUAUAUAUAUUUAUAUAUAGUUAACAUGGGGCUGUUUUGUGUGGCUGUCUAAAAUAUUAUUGUACGCACACACACAGGAUCAUCACAACUAAAACACGACUUAGGUUUCUUUCUUCCUUCUUUGGUUUGAUUUCCUCUCUCUCUCUCUCUCUGAUCUGAGCGGCCGAACCUCUCUUUUCCUCUGCGUGAAACCUCUCUUUCAGCCAUCCUUGUUCUUCUUCAGCCGUCGCGCCGCCGAAGCUCUCUCAGUUGUCGCGCCGUCGUCACGCAAGCAGCAGUUCGUGCAGAUCAUCAUCCAUAUUUCUGGAGUAGGUUGCAGCUUCCAGCAGACGCACUCUUUUUUUUCUCCCCUUGACGCAGCCGCGCACUCCUUCUCGUCACUUUUCCAUUGAAGACUCUCUCUCUACCAAAGGUGAAUUUCUCACUCUUCUGUAAAUGCUUAAUCUUCAAUAUUGUUAUUUCCAAUCUCUAUUUGCAUUUUUAUUUACUUUUAUUGAGCGAUUUAUUCUCUGAAAAUUUCAAUCUCUGUUUGCAUUUUUGGCUGGAUUAUUUACUCAACCCAAAACUCAUACAUUCAGAUUACUGUAUGCCUGUUAUUAUGUUGUUUUUAGAUCUUAAAAAUAAGAUAAGAAAAGUGGAAUUAGGGAAUUAUAUCAAACUUUCAUGACUGUAUAAAUCAAGAUUUCUGCUCAUUAUUUGUUUAGGGAAUUAGAUCUGGUUGAUUGCAGCUUUCCUUAUGGCAUCAAUCAAAGUAGAGAUUUAUGAGGAAAAAAGAAGUUAUGACUUAUGUUCUGUUUGUGUUCAUGUACAUUGAAAAUUGUAAUUAGCUUGUAGUUGGCUUUUGUUUGGUGUUUUGGUUUGAUUUACUAGUGUGCAUUCAAAUUUAUUAAUUGAUUAAUUGACAGUGCAUAACAGAUUUUCCGUUCAGUUUUUCAGUUUUUCAGUUUUGCAUAUUUGCAGAUUUUAAGUUUUUCGUUUGCUUUAUUACUGCUGUCAUAGGCAACUAUUUUUAGAAAUUGGCUUGUAUAGGUUCUUUGUUUUUUCGUGCUGAAUCCAAUGAUGCAAAGAACGUCAAAAUUGGGCUAGUGGUUUGAAAGUUAAAGGCUAAAAACUGAACAGAGGUCAGAUGUGUCAAAACUGCAAUUUGAAACUCUUUAUUUUCUUGCUUUGCUUAAGUCUAGUUAAUUGGUUUCUGUUUUUCAGUUGCUUUCUAGUUAAGUGUUGAUAUUAUCAUUUAGUUGGAAAUGAAGCUUUGUAUCAUGAUAGUGUGCUAUAUGCUUUGUAUAAUGAUAAGUGUUGCUGUAUGCUGAGUUUGUGUUAAAUACAUGCUAUAUAUGCUGGUACAAAAAAGUUAGCAUGAUAGUAUAUAAAUUUGGGGUAUGUUAGUAUAUAAAUACAUUUUGGGUAGGUUGGGCCCAUGCCCAAACCGAAACCGCAUGAACCAAAUCGAAUCGGACAGGUCUGGGUUGGUUUGGAUUUCUGUACCGAUUUUAAGCAAAAUCGGUCCAAAUCGAACCGAUCUGUACUUUCGGAUUAGGUUCUAUUUUUUCCCCAAAACCGGUCCAAAUCGAACUGUGCCCACCCCUACUGAUACUUCACUCGAAUCUGUUUGGUAUUUAUUUGAUUUUUAGAUUUCCAUUGUAUUAAGAUGUCCAUUUUGGUUUGUUAAAUCCUAAGAAGCUCGGACACGGAUACGAUACGACACGACACAGGGAUACGACAAAUUUUCAAAAAUUAGGAUACGGUACGUUGUGGAUAUUGCAAUUUAAAAAAUAUAUAAAAAUUAAAAAAUAACAAUAUAUAUAAUUUAAAACAUAUUUUAAAUAACAUAAAAAUGAUAAUAUUAUUACUUUUAACAUACUUCCACUUGUCGUGGUUUUUUAACUUGUAAUAUUAUUACUUUUAAUAAGACAAACAAAACAAAAUCCUUUUGUCAAAACGAUAAGACCAGCCAUCACGUGGGGUGUGGGUGAAACUGUGAGUAUUAAACAAACAAAAUCCUUUGACCAAAAAAUAAAAAAUAAAAAAUCCUUUUGUCAAAAGAACAGAGAAGCACGCGUGAGAAAACAAAAUGAAAAUGGAGAAGAGAACCCGACGCCGGCGACAAUGAAGAAGAAGAAAUUGAUGAGUAGGGGCGCCGCUGGAUGAAGAAGAAAAAGGAAGAUCUGGGCUUCUUAAGGAUGAAGAAGAAGAAGUGAUGAGUGGGGGCACUGGUGGCUGAAGAAGAAGAAGGAAGAUCUGGGCUUCUUAUUUAUAUAGAAGAAGGAAGUUACAAAGAUAUUGAUACUUCAACCGAAUCUGUUUGAUAUGUAUUUGAUUUUUAGAUUUCCAUUGUAUUAAAUUCUUUUUGAACUGUUGUACAUGGCGUCCAUUUUGGUUUGUUAAAUCCUAUUUUGAUUAGUGACAAAGGAGUAUAUGCUAUAAACAAUAAGCUGCCUCUGCUUGAAGGUGUCUGUAGGACCAUACAAUAGAAAAGAUGUGUUUUCAAUCUCA